UGGCUCAGAACGAACGCUGGCGGCAGGCCUAACACAUGCAAGUCGAGCGCCGUAGCAAUACGGAGCGGCAGACGGGAGAGUAACACGUGGGAACGUGCCCUUCAGUUCGGAACAACCCAGGGAAACUUGGGCUAAUACCGGAUACGUCCGUAAGGAGAAAGAUUUAUCGCUGAAGGAUCGGCCCGCGUCUGAUUAGCUAGUUGGUGGGGUAACGGCGCCACCAAGGCGAGGAUAAGUAGCUGGUCUGAGAGGAUGAUCAGCCUCACUGGGAUUGAUCUCUCGGCCCAUAGAACUACGGGAGGCA
RNAcentral lists this ribosomal RNA (304 nucleotides) under uncultured Hyphomicrobiales bacterium. Its description in RNAcentral is "bacterial SSU rRNA". It matches the Rfam family "Bacterial small subunit ribosomal RNA", at positions 20 to 353 of the family's 1533-position model. Lineage: Bacteria; Pseudomonadati; Pseudomonadota; Alphaproteobacteria; Hyphomicrobiales. The record is from RNAcentral.